GAUGAAAGAGUUGAUUUUCGAAUUCUUUUUUUUUGUUUGUUUUGUUUUGUUUUGGUUCACGUUUUAAUCGAAAAUCAUUUAAGAACAAAACGCAAAAUCCUACGCAAUAGUUAUGCAAUAAUUCAUUGAAAUGUGGAUAUUAUUAUAUUCAUCAGAAAAAAAGUUUUAUCAAAUCAACCGAACACACAGUUUAUCUGAUCACCGGAAAUCCUGAAACAACGUUUAUCAAUCAAUUUGAUAUCUUUGUCAUUGACAACGAUUAUUAUCGAUUUUGUUUUUUUUCUGGGCAUCCAAAUGUUCGACACAACAGCCAUUAUUUUUUUUUUGAUUAUUAUCAAACGUAUGUUGUAUGUUAUGGAACGACGAAAUACAAUCAAGAUC
Long non-coding RNA from Dermatophagoides farinae (American house dust mite), 381 nucleotides. RefSeq lists it as uncharacterized. NCBI's taxonomy places the organism in Eukaryota, Metazoa, Arthropoda, Arachnida, Sarcoptiformes, Pyroglyphidae. The record is from RefSeq and is a predicted model, not a curated record.